Maniola jurtina (meadow brown) is the source of this 734-nucleotide long non-coding RNA. RefSeq lists it as uncharacterized. The transcript has 3 exons. Lineage: Eukaryota; Metazoa; Arthropoda; Insecta; Lepidoptera; Nymphalidae. The record is from RefSeq and is a predicted model, not a curated record.
UUUUUUUCUGUCUUACUUAUGAUAUUUCUUCUGUUUUCUGGGGGUUUUGGUAAAUAUUCAUUAAUUAAUUUGCUAGCGUGAGGUAUAUCUUUGGAUGUAGAUGGCGUAGAUAAAUCAAAGUUUUUUGUAGGAGUCAUUGUGAUUUUUACUGUGGUCACAUCAUCAUUAUUGCUUAAAUUUAUAUUCGUUGAAGGAGAAUUAUUAAUUGGAUAUUGGAUAUUGGUCGAUUCUUUCACGGAAAAACCGCCUUGGAAAAAAGACCAAACUUUGUACAAUGAAGGAGAACUUUCAUUUACUAUUGUGCCUCCAGAUCGCAGAAGCUUCAUUUUGCUUAUAAUUUCAUCUACUAUAGUUUCAAAGUCUUUCAGAGACAUCAGUUUGAUUUCUUCUUAAGCUCUGCAUCAAUAUUUUUUGUACCGAGACAUUUGGUAAAAUCAAUGGUUUUCAUCAAACGGAUACAACCCACAUAACAUGUUUUAAAGCCAUUAAUUAUAUUAUCAGACUUUAUCUCUUCUACAACAGUUUUUAAAUAUUCCUGCAAUGUUUAAUUUGGUCACAACCUCUCCCAUGUUUUGCGCCUGAAAUUUCGCCACGGCCUUUCUGUACACUUUUUUAAUAGGGCCAAAAACGGAAACAUCUGUAAUGCGGGUAGUGUUAGGAUAAAGUGCAAUCAGCUCUAUGCCUAGUUCCUUACACGUUAAGCUAAGCUGUAAUGUAAUGUGGCUCUUGUGGCC